CAUGUCCUUUUGAUAAUGAUUUAAGGUCUAAUCUGCUCAAUGAAUAUUAAAUAGCCGCAGUAUUUUGACUGUGCAAAGGUAGCAUAAUAAUUAGUUCUUUAAUUGAGAACUGGAAUGAAUGAUUGGACAAGAAAAUUUCUGUCUCUUUCUUAAUUUUUUUGAAUUUUAUUUUUAAGUGAAAAAGCUUAAAUUUUUAUAAAAGACGAGAAGACCCUAUAGAGUUUAAUAUAAUCUGGUAAUAGAAUUUUAGAAACUUUGUUUAUUAGAUUUUAUUUGAUUGGGGUGAUUGAAAGAUUUAAAAAAUUCUUUUACAAAUUAAUUGAAGAUUUUCAAAUUAUUUAUCUAUAAUUAAUAAAUUUAAAAUAAAUUACCUUAGGGAUAACAGCGUAAUUUUUCUUUAAAGUUCUUAUUAAAAGAAAAGUUUGCGACCUCGAUGUUGGAUUAAAAUUAAUUUUUGGAGCAGCAGCUUAAAAAUUGGGUCUGUUCGACCUUUAAAAUUUUACAUGAUCUGAGUUUAGACCGGUGUGAGCCAGGUCGGAUUCUAUCUUUAGAAAAUUAUUAUAUUUUAGUACGAAAGGACCAAAUAUAGAUUAAAUUAAUUGU
This 603-nucleotide ribosomal RNA is filed under the name Cautires sp. UPOL VK0158. RNAcentral's name for it is "partial 16S ribosomal RNA". It matches the Rfam family "Bacterial large subunit ribosomal RNA", at positions 1822 to 2715 of the family's 2925-position model. Lineage: Eukaryota; Metazoa; Arthropoda; Insecta; Coleoptera; Lycidae. The record is from RNAcentral.